GGUGACGAGUGGCGGACGGGUGAGUAAUGUCUGGGAAACUGCCCGAUGGAGGGGGAUAACUACUGGAAACGGUAGCUAAUACCGCAUAACGUCGCAAGACCAAAGUGGGGGACCUUCGGGCCUCACACCAUCGGAUGUGCCCAGAUGGGAUUAGCUAGUAGGUGGGGUAAUGGCUCACCUAGGCGACGAUCCCUAGCUGGUCUGAGAGGAUGACCAGCCACACUGGAACUGAGACACGGUCCAGACUCCUACGGGAGGCAGCAGUGGGGAAUAUUGCACAAUGGGCGCAAGCCUGAUGCAGCCAUGCCGCGUGUAUGAAGAAGGCCUUCGGGUUGUAAAGUACUUUCAGCGGGGAGGAAGGCGAUAAGGUUAAUAGCCUUGUCGAUUGACGUUACCCGCAGAAGAAGCACCGGCUAACUCCGUGCCAGCAGCCGCGGUAAUACGGAGGGUGCAAGCGUUAAUCGGAAUUACUGGGCGUAAAGCGCACGCAGGCGGUCUGUCAAGUCGGAUGUGAAAUCCCCGGGCUUAACCUGGGAACUGCAUUCGAAACUGGCAGGCUAGAGUCUUGUAGAGGGGGGUAGAAUUCCAGGUGUAGCGGUGAAAUGCGUAGAGAUCUGGAGGAAUACCGGUGGCGAAGGCGGCCCCCUGGACAAAGACUGACG
RNAcentral lists this ribosomal RNA (662 nucleotides) under Enterobacter sp. B19. RNAcentral's name for it is "bacterial SSU rRNA". It matches the Rfam family "Bacterial small subunit ribosomal RNA", at positions 87 to 745 of the family's 1533-position model. The record is from RNAcentral. Lineage: Bacteria; Pseudomonadati; Pseudomonadota; Gammaproteobacteria; Enterobacterales; Enterobacteriaceae.